UGAAAUUUUUUCUAUUUUUUUU
Molecule: microRNA, 22 nt
Filed under: Hyalella azteca
Lineage: Eukaryota; Metazoa; Arthropoda; Malacostraca; Amphipoda; Hyalellidae
Description: miR-792
Source: RNAcentral